CAGAAUCAAGGCUUUCAUAUAACACAUUUAAAUUUUUUAUAAAAACAGAUGAAACUAAAACAUGUACAAAGUGGUUAUAAAUAGUAUACGUACCUUGUAUCACGUUCGAGUUGGCUUCAGCGUCCUCUUGGGUGAGGGUAUAGACUCUGCCUUGGACUGGAGGUCUGGCCUGAUUCUGAUUUCACGAGGACUCUCUCGCGUAAUGUUAGGCACUUCUGCAUAUGUGGCAUGUGUUGUUGAGGCAAUAGCGAGGUCGGUCCCCAUGGUCUUUGCCACAGUGUUCCUGCUGCGUCCUGUUGCCGAGGCCUGAGGAAGAACUUAAGUCGCAGGCCUAGGUCUCUUAUUCUACUUAUUUGGUGCAGUAGGUGCUAGCCUGCGAUGUGGAACCAGUGGCCAGGAAUUUUCCGCUGCUAGGGGAAAAAUGUG
This 426-nucleotide long non-coding RNA is filed under the name Carica papaya (papaya). Its description in RNAcentral is "long non-coding RNA (CPAP_LNC008320)". Lineage: Eukaryota; Viridiplantae; Streptophyta; Magnoliopsida; Brassicales; Caricaceae. The record is from RNAcentral.